This 491-nucleotide ribosomal RNA is filed under the name uncultured bacterium. RNAcentral describes it as "partial 16S ribosomal RNA". It matches the Rfam family "Bacterial small subunit ribosomal RNA", at positions 28 to 507 of the family's 1533-position model. The record is from RNAcentral.
GAUGAACGCUGGCUACAGGCUUAACACAUGCAAGUCGAGGGGAAACGACGGGGAAGCUUGCUUCCCCGGGCGUCGACCGGCGCACGGGUGAGUAACGCGUAUCCAACCUGCCUCUGACUGAGGGAUAACCCGUCGAAAGUCGGCCUAAUACCUCAUGGUAUCGUCUGCGGGCAUCCAACGACGAUUAAAGAUUUCAUCGGUCAGGGAUGGGGAUGCGUCUGAUUAGCUUGUUGGAGGGGUAACGGCCCACCAAGGCUACGAUCAGUAGGGGUUCUGAGAGGAAGGUCCCCCACAUUGGAACUGAGACACGGUCCAAACUCCUACGGGAGGCAGCAGUGAGGAAUAUUGGCCAAUGGGCGAGAGCCUGAACCAGCCAAGUAGCGUGCAGGAAGACGGCCCUAUGGGUUGUAAACUGCUUUUAUGCGGGGAUAAAGUGAGGGACGUGUCCCUCAUUGCAGGUACCGCAUGAAUAAGGACCGGCUAAUUCCGUG